Meriones unguiculatus (Mongolian gerbil) is the source of this 745-nucleotide long non-coding RNA. RefSeq lists it as uncharacterized. NCBI's taxonomy places the organism in Eukaryota, Metazoa, Chordata, Mammalia, Rodentia, Muridae. The transcript has 4 exons. The record is from RefSeq and is a predicted model, not a curated record.
UCAAGAGGUCAGCCAGCCCAAAGCUGCCCAUGCUAGGACUCUGUUGGGUCCCUCAGACUUUCUCACUGAGUUCCGGGAACCAAGGGGAGACAUGGAAGCUACAUCUAACAGCUUUGAAAACCCAGCAUCCUUGUGGAACGCUUAGCCUGCUUCACUAGACUUGGUGAACGGUUCUCACAAUGUGGAUACACCGAGCCUGGCAAGACUCUAGACAGCACUUGCCCUGCCUUGAGAGAAACGAUUCAGAGAACUUCUCCAGGCAAUCCAACUGAGUCUUCUGUCUUUCACUGCUUGACAUUGCUGCUUCGUGCUGGCCUUUGGAUUGGACUGCUGGUAUCCUGAUGUCUGAGUCUGCGGGGAGCAGCAUUACCAGGCCACAGAAGAAGACAACGCAGACACUCCUGAUGAGACCCAAUUGACUAGGACCAGAAGGAAGGAAAAGAAGACCUCCCCUCUCAGUGGACUUGGGGACGGGCAUGCAUGCAGAGGGGGGAGGAAGGGAGGGAUUGGGACGGGAGGAGGGAGGGAACCACAGGGGGGAUACAAAGUGAAUAAAAUGUAAUUAAUAAAGAAUUUAAAAAAAAAGCAGCACUGGAAAACUGUCCUCAUCACCCUGUAUCCUAUAGAAAAGUGAUGAUGUUAUGGUCAUUUUUGGACCAUGCAGCUGUGCAAUUAUGAACUGAAUGACGGGAAAUGUUAGGAAUGGUUUGACACAGCCCAGCCAAAAUAAAACAGGAUAAUGCAG